GGGGAGGCAGCAGUGGGGAAUAUUGCACAAUGGGGGAAACCCUGAUGCAGCCAUGCCGCGUGUGUGAAGAAGGCCUUCGGGUUGUAAAGCACUUUCAGUAGGGAGGAAGGUAGUGUAGUUAACACCUGCAUUAUUUGACGUUACCUACAGAAGAAGCACCGGCUAACUCCGUGCCAGCAGCCGCGGUAAUACGGAGGGUGCGAGCGUUAAUCGGAAUUACUGGGCGUAAAGCGCAUGCAGGCGGCCUGUUAAGUCAGAUGUGAAAGCCCGGGGCUUAACCUCGGAAUUGCAUUUGAAACUGGCAGGCUAGAGUCUUGUAGAGGGGGGUAGGAAUUUCAGGUGUAGCGGUGAAAUGCGUAGAGAUCUGAAGGAAUACCAGUGGCGAAGGCGGCCCCCUGGACAAAGACUGACGCUCAGAUGCGAAAGCGUGGGGAGCAAACAGGAUUAGAUACCCUGGUAG
Molecule: ribosomal RNA, 460 nt
Filed under: uncultured bacterium
Lineage: Bacteria
Description: bacterial SSU rRNA
Rfam family: Bacterial small subunit ribosomal RNA
Source: RNAcentral